Molecule: ribosomal RNA, 710 nt
Filed under: uncultured bacterium
Lineage: Bacteria
Description: bacterial SSU rRNA
Rfam family: Bacterial small subunit ribosomal RNA
Source: RNAcentral
UUUUCGGACAAGUGAAGUAAACGGAAAGCGGCGGACGGGUGAGUAACGCGUAGGCAACCUGCCCCAUACAGAGGGAUAGCCUCGAGAAAUCGGGAUUAAAACCUCAUAAUGCCAUCGAGUCACAUGGCUCUUUGGCCAAAGAUUUAUCGGUAUGGGAUGGGCCUGCGUCUGAUUAGCUAGUUGGUGAGGUAACGGCUCACCAAGGUUGCGAUCAGUAGCAGAACUGAGAGGUUCAUCUGCCACAUUGGAACUGAGACACGGUCCAAACUCCUACGGGAGGCAGCAGUGAGGAAUAUUGCACAAUGGGCGAAAGCCUGAUGCAGCAACGCCGCGUGAGCGAUGAAGGCCUUUGGGUCGUAAAGCUCUGUCCUUGGGGAAGAAACAAAUGACGGUACCCUUGGAGGAAGCCCCGGCUAACUACGUGCCAGCAGCCGCGGUAAUACGUAGGGGGCGAGCGUUAUCCGGAAUUAUUGGGCGUAAAGAGUGCGUAGGUGGUCUUGUAAGCGUGGGGUGAAAGGCAGUGGCUUAACCAUUGUUAGCCUUGCGAACUGUGAGACUUGAGUGCAGGAGAGGAAAGUGGAAUUCCUAGUGUAGCGGUGAAAUGCGUAGAUAUUAGGAGGAACACCAGUGGCGAAGGCGACUUUCUGGACUGUAACUGACACUGAGGCACGAAAGCGUGGGGAGCAAACAGGAUUAGAUACCCUGGUAGU